AAAAAAGGAUUUAUUUCAGACGGACUGCUAACAAGAUAUUGUAAAAUAAUUGGACACAAAUAUCCAGACCACCAAUGUUCGAGGUGUAAUGGAGAAGAUAAUAUUAUUCCAGAAGUACAUCUAGAAUAAAAAAGACAAGAUGCCAGCUGGAAAGAUAAGAUAAGGAGAAAUAAUGGAGCAGAUACGGCAAAAUCAAUGGAGACAAGAUACUGUACAAAGUCUGAAUUAUUGUACAAAGUCUUAACUAUUGAUUGAAUUAUUGUACAAAUAAGACUUUUACGUAAAGAUGUAAACUCGUAGGAAAUUAAAGGCUAGUAGGUUAGGCCUAUAGCCCCUUUUGUUGACUUUUUAGUUUUUAGAUUUACAAUUUUAAAAAAAGAAAACGUGUGUAAAGUUUGAUUGUAAAGAUUACUUUUCGUUCUAUAAAUAAAGAAAGCAGAAGGCAUUGCAAAAGCAAGCCUUCAUGCGUUGAAGCAAGCAUUCUCUCCAUUCCACAACAAAUACUUUACUCAGUUAAUUAAAUAAACAUAUUUCAAUGGAAAAAGCUAUGGAGCAACAAACUUCAGAAAUAUCAAAACUACCCGAACAGGUAUAUCUAUUUAUGAUUAUGAAUAGCUAAAUUCAUAAUUCCCAACAAUCAUGAUAUGAUAAAAUAAAUUCAUAUUAGUUACUUUAUAGUAGAAUUAUUCGAAGAAUAAUAUGUUAAGAAGUUUAUUAACAAAGAGGAAACGGAGAAAGAUCCCNN
Molecule: long non-coding RNA, 745 nt
Filed under: Capsicum annuum
Lineage: Eukaryota; Viridiplantae; Streptophyta; Magnoliopsida; Solanales; Solanaceae
Description: long non-coding RNA (CANN_LNC014756)
Source: RNAcentral